This 500-nucleotide ribosomal RNA is filed under the name uncultured Myrionecta. RNAcentral's name for it is "bacterial SSU rRNA". It matches the Rfam family "Eukaryotic small subunit ribosomal RNA", at positions 1212 to 1798 of the family's 1831-position model. Lineage: Eukaryota; Ciliophora; Litostomatea; Cyclotrichida; Mesodiniidae. The record is from RNAcentral.
AACUUACCAGGUCAAGACAUGGGCGUGAUUGACAGGCUAAUGACUUUUCUCGAUUCCAUGGAUGGUGGUGCAUGGUCGCACUUAGUUGGUGCAGUGAUUUGUCAGGUUUAUUCCGGUAACGAACGAGACCUCGGCCUUGUAAAUAGCUAUGCUGCUUACAGGGACAUUGGCGGCUACGCCAAGGAAGCUCGAGGCAAUUGCAGAUCUGGAAUGCCCUUAGAUGUCCUGGGUCGCACGCGUGCUACAAUGACGCCACGAACGAGCUUGCGUGAUGAAAGUUACGCAUAAUCAGCAGUCGGCGUCUUAAGGGAUAGUCUCUUGUAGCUGUGGGACUCCAACUAGGAAUGUCUCGUAAGCACAAGUCAACAUCUUGUGUUGAUUACGUCCCUGCUCUUUGUACACACCGCCCGUCGCUCCUACCGAUCGAGUGUUUAGGUGAAUUUGAUGGACGUAAGGAAGUCAAAUAAACCUGAGCACUAGAGAAGAGAAGUCGAGCAUCU